RNAcentral lists this ribosomal RNA (433 nucleotides) under uncultured bacterium. RNAcentral describes it as "partial 16S ribosomal RNA". It matches the Rfam family "Bacterial small subunit ribosomal RNA", at positions 29 to 507 of the family's 1533-position model. The record is from RNAcentral.
AACGAACGCUGGCGGCAUGCCUAACACAUGCAAGUCGAACGAGACCUUCGGGUCUAGUGGCGCACGGGUGCGUAACGCGUGGGAACCUGCCCUUAGGUUCGGAAUAACUCCCCGAAAGGGGUGCUAAUACCGGAUAAUGUCUUCGGACCAAAGAUUUAUCGCCUUUGGAUGGGCCCGCGUUGGAUUAGCUAGUUGGUAGGGUAAAAGCCUACCAAGGCGACGAUCCAUAGCUGGUCUGAGAGGAUGAUCAGCCACACUGGGACUGAGACACGGCCCAGACUUCUACGGGAGGGAGCAGUGGGGGAUAGUGGACAAUGGGCCGAAGGCUGAUCCAGCCAUGGCGGGGGAGUGAUGAAGGGCUUAGGGUUGAAAAGCUCUUUUACCCGGGAUGAUAAUGACAGUACCGGGAGAAUAAGCUCCGGCUAACUCCGUG